AACCUACCUUCACCCUCAUCCUCACCCUCAUACUCCUCAACCUCAUCUUCCAGCCUGCUUCGUGCCCACCCUGUGCUGCCCCCUCACCUACCCAGCCUGAAUCUCAGCUCACACGUACAGACACUCGCACAAGCUGUACCUGCCCCCUGUUCCGCCCAGGGGGAACUUUCCCUCUCACCAUCUCUCCUCCCACAUCGCUCCCCCGGGAAGGAGCCGCUCCCUGCCCCUUCGGUCCCAAAGACUCCGUAUAGUGUCACAAUCUGCAUAUAAACCACCGGGAAUAAGCGACAGGAGAGCCACUCUCUCAGCGGUGCUGGCGGGCUCAGUCGUGCACAAACACAUGUCCACUCUGCUGAGCCGGGGAGAAAAAACUGUAUUUUCCUGACCGGUGCAACCAAGAAAGCAGCGAGGGCAGUGGGGAGGAAGGAGAUGAGUAAUUCUGCUAAGGGGAAAAAAAAAAAAAAAACAAAAAAAACCCCACCCAAACCAACCACUUUCCACCUGCAUUUAGGGGCAGCCUGGAUGACUACGCAGUACUCCAACCUACAGGUCCUUCGGCGCUAAAAGAGCCCCUCUGUGUGUGUGAGUAUGAGUGUGAGUGUGUGUGAGUGAGAGAGUGUCCCCAGCCGUGCCUGGGGACACUGUGUCUCCUUGCCUUUUCCCAUGGCAUUUGAGGAUAGGAAAAGAUCUGUGGGUCGAGGGAGCCUUUUUCUGUCCACCUCCCACCACUGCCGCCUCCUCGGGGGUGAAAAAAUUAAACAAGGCGAUGGGGGCUGAGGACUUGUGCACAGUGAGUGGAAAAAAUGUGUUAAACAUCAGUUUGACGCCCCAUCGGAGCUUCAAAAUAUACAUCGCCUGGAUUUCUUCUACUUAAUUUAAUCCUUAUUCGACUGUGUUUCUUCUUGCCACCUAUUUACUAGAAGUCCCAGCAAAACGUACCUCGGGAGAGAAGGAGGGGGGUGACACACGAUGGAGGGGGGAGGACUUCAUUUGAACCUCUAGACUUAAGCAGGUAUUUAGCAGGGAGACACUCCAAAGAGUUUGAAGUAAGUCUCUUAAGUCAUGACUUCUACCCAGGACUUGAGCUGCUCCUGGAGUGGAAAAGAUUUGUGUGUCGGGAUGGGAACUUGUAGCCUUAGCAACAAAGUAGUCACAUGAAGGAAUUUUCAGCAAAAGUAUCCCAGACUGAGAAAGAAACGCCAAUUUCUGAGCUGCUAGGAAGGAAGAGAUAGUGCCCUGGAUUGAGCCUAUAGAACGCAACUUUUUCUAUUUGACAGAAGCCCCCAAGUUUGCCCACCUGGUUUUUUUUUCCCCCUUAAUGCAUACCAAAUCCAAACACACCCACCCCC
This 1349-nucleotide long non-coding RNA is filed under the name Camarhynchus parvulus. Its description in RNAcentral is "lncRNA (ENSCPVG00000016806.1)". The record is from RNAcentral. Lineage: Eukaryota; Metazoa; Chordata; Aves; Passeriformes; Thraupidae.